Molecule: ribosomal RNA, 462 nt
Filed under: uncultured bacterium
Lineage: Bacteria
Description: partial 16S ribosomal RNA
Rfam family: Bacterial small subunit ribosomal RNA
Source: RNAcentral
GACGAACGCUGGCGGCGUGCUUAACACAUGCAAGUCGAGCGGUAAGGCCUUUCGGGGUACACGAGCGGCGAACGGGUGAGUAACACGUGGGUGAUCUGCCCUGCACUUCGGGAUAAGCCUGGGAAACUGGGUCUAAUACCGGAUAUGACCUCCUAUCGCAUGGUGGGUGGUGGAAAGAUUUAUCGGUGCAGGAUGGGCCCGCGGCCUAUCGGCUUGUUGGUGGGGUAAUGGCCUACCAAGGCGACGACGGGUAGCCGACCUGAGAGGGUGACCGGCCACACUGGGACUGAGACACGGCCCAGACUCCUACGGGAGGCAGCAGUGGGGAAUAUUGCACAAUGGGCGAAAGCCUGAUGCAGCGACGCCGCGUGAGGGAUGACGGCCUUCGGGUUGUAAACCUCUUUCAGCAGGGACGAAGCGCAAGUGACGGUACCUGCAGAAGAAGCACCGGCUAACUACGUG